GACGAACGCUGGCGGCGUGCUUAACACAUGCAAGUCGAACGGAAAGGCCUGCUUUCCCUUGUGGAUUGCGGGUACUCGAGUGGCGAACGGGUGAGUAACACGUGAGUGAUCUGCCCCCAACUUGGGUAUAAGCCUGGGAAACUGGGUCUAAUUCCCGAUAGGACUGCAGGGUGGUGCCUGUGGUGGAAAACGAGUUUCUAGUGGUUGGGGAUGAGCUCGCGGCCUAUCAGCUUGUUGGUGGGGUAAUGGCCUACCAAGGCGGCGACGGGUAGCCGGCCUGGGAGGGUGGACGGCCACAUUGGGACUGAGAUACGGCCCAGACUCCGACGGGAGGCAGCAGUGGGGCAUAUUGCACGAUGGGCGGAAGCCUGAUGCAGCGACGCCGCGUGGGGAUGACGGCCUUCGGGUUGUAAACUCCUUUCGACCGCGAGGAAGCCACCUGGUUGGAAGGGUGGUGACGGUAGUGGUAGAAGAAGCACCGGCUAACUACGUG
This 493-nucleotide ribosomal RNA is filed under the name uncultured bacterium. Its description in RNAcentral is "partial 16S ribosomal RNA". It matches the Rfam family "Bacterial small subunit ribosomal RNA", at positions 28 to 507 of the family's 1533-position model. The record is from RNAcentral.